CACGUUUUCCGCGCCGUAGCUAACGCAUUAAGUGCCCCGCCUGGGGAGUACGGCCGCAAGGCUAAAACUCAAAGGAAUUGACGGGGGCCCGCACAAGCGGCGGAGCAUGCGGAUUAAUUCGAUGCAACGCGAAGAACCUUACCAAGGCUUGACAUGAACCGGAAAGAUCUGGAAACAGGUCCCCCACUUGUGGUCGGUUUACAGGUGGUGCAUGGUUGUCGUCAGCUCGUGUCGUGAGAUGUUGGGUUAAGUCCCGCAACGAGCGCAACCCUCGUUCUAUGUUGCCAGCACGUGAUGGUGGGGACUCAUAGGAGACUGCCGGGGUCAACUCGGAGGAAGGUGGGGACGACGUCAAAUCAUCAUGCCCCUUAUGUCUUGGGCUUCACGCAUGCUACAAUGGCCGGUACAAAGGGUUGCGAUACUGUGAGGUGGAGCUAAUCCCAAAAAGCCGGUCUCAGUUCGGAUUGGGGUCUGCAACUCGACCCCAUGAAGU
Molecule: ribosomal RNA, 493 nt
Filed under: Pseudarthrobacter chlorophenolicus
Lineage: Bacteria; Bacillati; Actinomycetota; Actinomycetes; Micrococcales; Micrococcaceae
Description: bacterial SSU rRNA
Rfam family: Bacterial small subunit ribosomal RNA
Source: RNAcentral